GAGAUGGCUCAGUGGUAAAGUAUCUGUUUGCAAGCAGAACUCCCAGGGUUCAAUCCCCAGGGGCAUCU
Non-coding RNA from Podarcis lilfordi (Lilford's wall lizard), 68 nucleotides. NCBI's taxonomy places the organism in Eukaryota, Metazoa, Chordata, Lepidosauria, Squamata, Lacertidae. The record is from the annotation of a GenBank genome assembly.